This 264-nucleotide ribosomal RNA is filed under the name uncultured bacterium. RNAcentral describes it as "partial 16S ribosomal RNA". It matches the Rfam family "Bacterial small subunit ribosomal RNA", at positions 793 to 1055 of the family's 1533-position model. The record is from RNAcentral.
GUCCACGCCCUAAACGAUGUCAACUAGGUGUUGGGAGGGUAAAACCUUUUAGUACCGGAGCUAACGCGUGAAGUUGACCGCCUGGGGAGUACGGCCGCAAGGUUAAACUCAAAGGAAUUGACGGGGACCCGCACAAGCGGUGGAUUAUGUGGAUUAAUUCGAUGCAACGCGAAAACCUUACCUACCCUUGACAUGUCCGGAAGCCCUUAGAGAUUUGGGUGUGCUCGAAAGAGAGCCGGAAUACAGGUUCUGCAUGGCUGUCGU